This is a non-coding RNA of Paramormyrops kingsleyae, 528 nucleotides long. The record is from RefSeq and is a predicted model, not a curated record. Lineage: Eukaryota; Metazoa; Chordata; Actinopteri; Osteoglossiformes; Mormyridae.
CAGUGUCAACCUGAAGAAUGGGAACAAGUACUGCCUGAAUCCUGAAGCCCAGAAAAUCCGCCAAAUGAUAAAAAAUUUGCAGUCGAAGUACAUGCCCUGAUAUGGAGGGAGGUGACCACCCCCCCAGCUGGCAUCUGAUUGGACACUGAAGCUGGACACCCUCCCCCUGCCCCCAGAUACAGGAACCACGCAGUCCUACUGAUACUCAUACAGAAUAUAUCCACUUGUGUCAUUUAGAUAAUUAAUUGUACAAACAUUGUUGUCUAUUGAUGUGUUCGUAUUGUUACUAAUCACAACCCUGUACUGCAUAAGUGGUUGUGGAAGAUGGCUGUAUUCUGCAUAAUGCAAAAUAUAUUUCUCUAUUGCUGAUAUUUUCUUAAUAUAUAUUUUCCUAUGUAUUGUUAUAUAUAUUUUCUAUGUAGUAUAGCACUAUGUGGCAAGUUGCAUUCAGUUUUUACAUUAUAUAAUAUACUCAUUUAUUAUUAUUUAACUGUAUUCAAUUAAUAAAUACAAAAAACAAACAUCUGU